CCUACGGGGGGCAGCAGUGGGGAAUAUUGGGCAAUGGGCGCAAGCCUGACCCAGCAACGCCGCGUGAAGGAAGAAGGCUUUCGGGUUGUAAACUUCUUUUGACAGGGAAGAGCAGAAGACGGUACCUGUCGAAUAAGCCACGGCUAACUACGUGCCAGCAGCCGCGGUAAUACGUAGGUGGCAAGCGUUGUCCGGAUUUACUGGGUGUAAAGGGCGUGUAGCCGGGCUGACAAGUCAGAUGUGAAAUCCGGGGGCUCAACCCCCGAACUGCAUUUGAAACUGUUGGUCUUGAGUAUCGGAGAGGCAGGCGGAAUUCCUAGUGUAGCGGUGAAAUGCGUAGAUAUUGCGCAGAACCCCGAUUGCGAAGGCAGCGUGCCGUGCCGCCACUGACGCUGAGGCACGAAAGCGCGGGGAUCGAACAGGAUUAGAUACCCGAGUAGUC
This 442-nucleotide ribosomal RNA is filed under the name uncultured bacterium. RNAcentral's name for it is "partial 16S ribosomal RNA". It matches the Rfam family "Bacterial small subunit ribosomal RNA", at positions 338 to 795 of the family's 1533-position model. The record is from RNAcentral.